CAGACACACAGACAAAUGCACAUUUCUAAAAUAUUUAGUAAGAAGAAGAAGAACAAACCUUUUACUGCUGGUUUUAAGUUUCCUUUGCAAGGUUCAAUUCUGCCUGGCUUUUGGCAUUUAGAGGUAGCUUUUCUCAUUGAUCCUUCUCAUUCUUUGUAGACUUUCUGCUAGUUUUGAAAAAACCUGUUUGAGAUGCUUGUUUACCCAAUUUGGUCUGCAAGCCUUCACUAUGAUUCCCCCCACCUCUUUUCUUGCAACGAAGGCUUCAGGAUUGCAAUUUUGAUAUAAAUUCCAAGCUUCCUUCACAUUCAGUUCAGUCUGUUCCCUUAAUUAAUUCCCUUAAUGUUUCUUAAAGUUUCCUCUUUUGAAAUCAAAGACCACAGUUGCAGACCUGUUUUUGUUUAUCCCUCCAUUCCAUUUAAACUGAAUGAGCUUAUUUCUCUUCCCUGGUCAUGUUUUACUAAGGAAGUUUUCCAGUUGAAAUAAAAAAAUCUUGUGUAAAACACCCUAAUCCUUUCUACACCAAUUAAGUCAAUGACACAAACAGAGAACAGGAUCAGGUCUGCAUUCCAGCAGUGUACCAUGCACCAUGGAAACAAUGGAAAUACUCCAAAUUUCUUCAGGUCUGGCCAAGCCAUGUUUGACGCUGGACCAAAGUAGGACAAGACACCGACACAACUCCUGCUGGGAGGGAGCUAAAAUGACACAGAGCCGUGCCAGCUGUACUAGCUUUAUGUCCCCCAAGAAUUCCCUUAACUGGGAGAAUUUACUGCUGUCCACCUGGGGCAGGUUUAUAGGCCAUUUGUGCUGCCUGAGCUGCCCACACUGGUGCUUUCACCUUGUGGAUCAUUUCAGUGAAUGGUCUCUAACCACAGUCCCAAGCCUCCCAACAUGCCCACUCCCAGAGUGGCAUGCAGAAGAAUACUGUGAAGCUCUGUCUUGAGACACCCAAACAAGCAUGGGGUGGUGUAACAUGGUGCUGUUAGCAGCUAUAAACUGAGAUCUUUGGCAGCAAGCACCCUGCUAAAGCAGAUGCAACAUAGACAGUUUGGAUUUGAAGGAGGUAAAAGCCAUGUUCCCUCUAAUUUUUCCCAUAUGUGAGCAGAAUGAAUUUUACUAUGUGCACCAGUGUGAAGCUGAGGGGUCACACAUUACCUCCAUUUUGGUGCACAUAACAAAAUUCAUGCAGAGGAAGUGGGGUGAGGGGCUAGCAGUGUGGGAGGGAGCUCAGAGCUGGGGCAGAAAGUUGGGGUACAGAGAUAUGAGGACUCCAGAUGAGGGGUGUAGACUCUGGGUUGGGCCAGGAAUGAGGGGUUUAGGAUAUGGGCUACCCCAGGGCUACAGCAGGGAGAGAGGAUUGCUCCUGGCUCUCUCUCCCCAUAACAGCACCUGGCCUGGGAAGUGGAGGUAAGAGAGGCACCUCUCCAUACUGCAGCAAAUCCAGGGCUUGGGCUACAGGAUAGACAUACUUCCUCAACCACAGCAGGUCUGUGCUGGGGCUGGGUUUAGGCCACAGUAGGUCCAGAGCAAGGCAGGGGGAAGGGCACCUUUCCCCUGGCUACAGCCCAUUCAGGACUCUUUUGAAGUCAGCAGACACUGGUCCCUCCCUUGGCCACAGCAGGUCCAACCCAGUCACAUUCCCAUAGUGCCUGUGUGUUACUUAAUAGGUUGUUGCACAGCUUACAGGGAACUUAGGUAAAAGGGAUCAUUUGCACUUGAUGAGCUAAUUAUCUCGCCAGCUGGAGAGCACAGUGAAGAAAGAAAGCUUUAUAAAAGGCUGAUCCAGAAAACCUGCUCCAUCUGAUUGCUGCAAUGUUGUGAUGUACCUGGAGCAUACACUGAACAGAGGUACCCUGGUGUUCUGUGAAUGCUGCUUAUGUCACAAAGGGAUUACCAUAUAGAAUUUUCAAGUGUUUAAGAGAAAGCCUGUUCACAGGCAGCAAGAAAUUGGUUCUGGUAUUGGAGACAUACAACCUAGCACCUAAAACAAUAUACUGCACAUGUUUGAUGCAACCUUGGUCUCAGGCCGAAGGUACAGGGCUGCAAGGACUAAUCUGGGUGGCCUGGAAGGAGAACGGGGGAACCUGGCACCAGCAGCAGGGGUUGCUCCUGCCCUGCACUCACCACGAUGGCAGAAAAAAGAGGGCUCAGUCAACUUGAUGUUAAUUUGAAUGUUUGUACGAUGGAUUGCCAUUGAAUGCGCUUGAAUACGAGUAAUUUUACCAGAUGUCCCGGAUUCAGCAUAGAGAAAUAUGGUCACCCUAUUUGUAAGACUUGGAAAGGAACUUAGACAAUGCUUUGUUCUCUUCACUCUGAUCCUGAAGGUAAACUUCACCUAUUUUUAAGAAUAUAAGACUCUGGCUUUUCCAGAGAGCAGCCAAUGGACAUAAAGGAGCCUAUAGGAUGAAUAGAGAGGAGAACAUCAGCAUAUAUAAGCCUGUGUAAUGGUUGCAACAAUUAGAAGACCCCUUGGGGCUAAGGAGAUUAAAUCACAGGACUUCCAUUGUUUCAGCUGGAUAGCGAGAGAGCAGGCAAAAUCCAGUGUCCAAGAUUUGGCACUUUUAAAAAAUUGUAAAGGAUUUUUCCUGGAGUCUAUUUGUUUUGUGAAAGAAAAAGCAACAAACAGUGUUGUCCUAGGAGCAAAUAAAGCAACUAGAAAACAGACUAGAACUGUGUUGUCACUGAACAUCUGGCAAGCACAGUAAGUAUAAUUACAGGAAGAAGCAGCAGAGUCUGUAGGCAAGAUCACUUAAGGAAAGUAGUCUGCGGUAUACAAAAUGUAAAAGAACUCAUUCUGGGGUGUGCACCAGAGUGACUUUUAAUCUGUUACCUGUUUGUUAUAUUUAUGGAGAAAAUAAAUUUAAGGAAGGAUUUAAUUAGAAGAAAACUGAUUUUUUA
Long non-coding RNA from Pelodiscus sinensis (Chinese soft-shelled turtle), 2898 nucleotides. RefSeq lists it as uncharacterized. Lineage: Eukaryota; Metazoa; Chordata; Testudines; Trionychidae. The record is from RefSeq and is a predicted model, not a curated record.